This 505-nucleotide long non-coding RNA is filed under the name Phasianus colchicus (ring-necked pheasant). RNAcentral's name for it is "lncRNA (ENSPCLG00000003022.1)". Lineage: Eukaryota; Metazoa; Chordata; Aves; Galliformes; Phasianidae. The record is from RNAcentral.
UAUUUUUUUUUUUUUUUCAAAUAACUGAAAUACUUAUUAGUAAAUCCUGUCUUUUACAGGAAUACUUACAGUGCCAUGUCCUCAUAGGUAUGGUCAUUCCACAUUUCAGAAGUUCUAUAGCAACAGCAUGAAUGUAUCUUAACAUCACAGGACUUGCCCCCGAAAGAGUGGUUGAUUCUCAACAGGGUUUUCUACUCUUGCUUCUUAAGUUCAGCAGAGUAAGGAAAGAAUGGGAAGCACACUGUGCAGCUGAAAUCAGAAGAUGUGGAAGGAAGGAGAGGAAAAUCGAAGGAAGCACACUUCAGAGACAUAUGGGGUUGAAUCCAAGCAUUCCUUUACUAUUACAAGCAUUUGUUGCAAUUGGAAUGCUGUCUUUGGACUCUGCAUGCUAAUCCAGGAUUAUACAAGCAGAAGAGGAGUUCCAGGAGUGGCUUUUAUUAUUAGCUGGCUAUUGCUCAGGUAAUUCAAGAACAACUGGGUAGAAACACAAUCAUAGAUAUCAAAG